GUGAGGAAUUUUCCGCAAUGGGCGAAAGCCUGACGGAGCAAUGCCGCGUGAAGGAUGAAGGCCUAUGGGUUGUAAACUUCUUUUCUCAGAAAAGAAUUAUGACGGUAUCUGAGGAAUAAGCAUCGGCUAACUCUGUGCCAGCAGCCGCGGUAAGACAGAGGAUGCAAGCGUUAUCCGGAAUGAUUGGGCGUAAAGCGUCUGUAGGUUGUUUAAAAAGUAUUCUGCCAAAGAUUAGGGCUUAACCCUAGAUAGGCAGAAUAAACUUUUAAGCUAGAGUUUGGUAGAGGCAGAGGGAAUUCCCGGUGGAGCGGUGAAAUGCGUAGAUAUCGGGAGGAACACCAAAGGCGAAGGCACUCUGCUGGGCCAAUACUAACACUGAGAGACGAAAGCGAGGGGAGCAAAUGGGAUUAGAAACCCCUGUAGUCC
RNAcentral lists this ribosomal RNA (426 nucleotides) under uncultured bacterium. RNAcentral's name for it is "partial 16S ribosomal RNA". It matches the Rfam family "Bacterial small subunit ribosomal RNA", at positions 354 to 796 of the family's 1533-position model. The record is from RNAcentral.